CCUACGGGUGGCAGCAGUGAGGAAUAUUGGUCAAUGGGCGCGAGCCUGAACCAGCCAAGUCGCGUGAAGGAUGACUGCCCUACGGGUUGUAAACUUCUUUUAUAAAGGAAUAAAGUGAGGCACGUGUGCCUUUUUGUAUGUACUUUAUGAAUAAGGAUCGGCUAACUCCGUGCCAGCAGCCGCGGUAAUACGGAGGAUCCGAGCGUUAUCCGGAUUUAUUGGGUUUAAAGGGAGCGUAGAUGGGUGGUUAAGUCAGUGGUGAAAGUUUGCGGCUCAACCGUAAAAUUGCCAUUGAUACUGGCAGUCUUGAGUAUAGUUGAGGUAGGCGGAAUGCGUGGUGUAGCGGUGAAAUGCUUAGAUAUCACGAAGAACUCCGAUUGCGAAGGCAGCUUACUAAGCUGCCACUGACAUUGAUGCACGAAAGUGUGGGGAUCAAACAGGAUUAGAUACCCCUGUAGUC
This 460-nucleotide ribosomal RNA is filed under the name uncultured bacterium. RNAcentral's name for it is "partial 16S ribosomal RNA". It matches the Rfam family "Bacterial small subunit ribosomal RNA", at positions 338 to 795 of the family's 1533-position model. The record is from RNAcentral.